UACGGAGGGUGCAAGCGUUGUUCGGAAUCACUGGGCGUAAAGGGCGAGUAGGCGGUCCGCUAAGUCUGAUGUGAAAGCCCGGGGCUCACCCCCGGAAGUGCAUUGGAAACUGGCGGACUCGAGUCCCGGAGAGGAAGGUGGAAUUCCUGGUGUAGCGGUGAAAUGCGUAGAUAUCAGGAGGAACAUCGGAGGCGAAGGCGGCCUUCUGGACGGUGACUGACGCUGAGACGCGAAAGCGUGGGGAGCAAACAGG
Molecule: ribosomal RNA, 253 nt
Filed under: uncultured bacterium
Lineage: Bacteria
Description: partial 16S ribosomal RNA
Rfam family: Bacterial small subunit ribosomal RNA
Source: RNAcentral